This 112-nucleotide non-coding RNA is filed under the name Fulmarus glacialis (Northern fulmar). Its description in RNAcentral is "Eukaryotic large subunit ribosomal RNA". It matches the Rfam family "Eukaryotic large subunit ribosomal RNA", at positions 1221 to 1332 of the family's 3401-position model. The record is from Rfam by way of RNAcentral. Lineage: Eukaryota; Metazoa; Chordata; Aves; Procellariiformes; Procellariidae.
AAAUUAUCUAGUUAAUACAGCAGGACAGUGGCCAUGGAAGUCAGAAUCCGCUAAGGAGUGUGUAACAACUCACCUGCCGAAUCAACUAGCCCUGAAAAUGGAUGGCGCUGGA